GAUGAACGCUGGCGGCGUGCCUAAUACAUGCAAGUCGAGCGAACAGACGAGGAGCUUGCUCCUCUGACGUUAGCGGCGGACGGGUGAGUAACACGUGGAUAACCUACCUAUAAGACUGGGAUAACUUCGGGAAACCGGAGCUAAUACCGGAUAAUAUAUUGAACCGCAUGGUUCAAUAGUGAAAGACGGUUUUGCUGUCACUUAUAGAUGGAUCCGCGCCGCAUUAGCUAGUUGGUAAGGUAAUGGCUUACCAAGGCAACGAUGCGUAGCCGACCUGAGAGGGUUAUCGGCCACACUGGAACUGAGACACGGUCCAGACUCCUACGGGAGGCAGCAGUAGGGAAUCUUCCGCAAUGGGCGAAAGCCUGACGGAGCAACGCCGCGUGAGUGAUGAAGGUCUUCGGAUCGUAAAACUCUGUUAUUAGGGAAGAACAAAUGUGUAAGUAACUAUGCACGUCUUGACGGUACCUAAUCAGAAAGCCACGGCUAACUACGUG
RNAcentral lists this ribosomal RNA (497 nucleotides) under uncultured bacterium. Its description in RNAcentral is "partial 16S ribosomal RNA". It matches the Rfam family "Bacterial small subunit ribosomal RNA", at positions 28 to 507 of the family's 1533-position model. The record is from RNAcentral.